UACGUAGGGGGCGAGCGUUGUCCGGAUUUAUUGGGCGUAAAGAGCGUGUAGGCGGCUUGGUAGGUCUCGCGUCAAAACCUGAGGCUCAACCUCAGUUCGCGUGGGAAACCACCUAGCUAGAGUCCGGAAGAGGAGAACGGAAUUCCCAGUGUAGCGGUGAAAUGCGCAGAUAUUGGGAAGAACACCAGUGGCGAAGGCGGUUCUCUGGGACGGUACUGACGCUGAGACGCGAAAACGUGGGGAGCGAACAGG
This 252-nucleotide ribosomal RNA is filed under the name uncultured bacterium. RNAcentral describes it as "partial 16S ribosomal RNA". It matches the Rfam family "Bacterial small subunit ribosomal RNA", at positions 524 to 776 of the family's 1533-position model. The record is from RNAcentral.